AUUGAACGCUGGCGGCAGGCCUAACACAUGCAAGUCGAGCGGAUGAAGGGAGCUUGCUCCUGGAUUCAGCGGCGGACGGGUGAGUAAUGCCUAGGAAUCUGCCUGGUAGUGGGGGAUAACGUCCGGAAACGGGCGCUAAUACCGCAUACGUCCUGAGGGAGAAAGUGGGGGAUCUUCGGACCUCACGCUAUCAGAUGAGCCUAGGUCGGAUUAGCUAGUUGGUGGGGUAAAGGCCUACCAAGGCGACGAUCCGUAACUGGUCUGAGAGGAUGAUCAGUCACACUGGAACUGAGACACGGUCCAGACUCCUACGGGAGGCAGCAGUGGGGAAUAUUGGACGAUGGGCGAAAGCCUGAUCCAGCCAUGCCGCGUGUGUGAAGAAGGUCUUCGGAUUGUAAAGCACUUUAAGUUGGGAGGAAGGGCAGUAAGUUAAUACCUGGCUGUUUUGACGUUACCAACAGAAGAAGCACCGGCUAACUUCGUG
This 484-nucleotide ribosomal RNA is filed under the name uncultured bacterium. RNAcentral's name for it is "partial 16S ribosomal RNA". It matches the Rfam family "Bacterial small subunit ribosomal RNA", at positions 30 to 507 of the family's 1533-position model. The record is from RNAcentral.